This 253-nucleotide ribosomal RNA is filed under the name uncultured bacterium. Its description in RNAcentral is "partial 16S ribosomal RNA". It matches the Rfam family "Bacterial small subunit ribosomal RNA", at positions 524 to 776 of the family's 1533-position model. The record is from RNAcentral.
UACGGAGGGGGCUAGCGUUGUUCGGAAUUACUGGGCGUAAAGCGCGCGUAGGCGGCUUUGUAAGUUAGAGGUGAAAGCCCGGAGCUCAACUCCGGAAUUGCCUUUAAGACUGCAUCGCUAGAAUCAUGGAGAGGUGAGUGGAAUUCCGAGUGUAGAGGUGAAAUUCGUAGAUAUUCGGAAGAACACCAGUGGCGAAGGCGGGUCUCUGGGCCGAUACUGACGCUGAGGAGCGAAAGCCAGGGGAGCAAACGGG